RNAcentral lists this transfer RNA (74 nucleotides) under Candidatus Peregrinibacteria bacterium. RNAcentral's name for it is "tRNA-Trp". It matches the Rfam family "tRNA". From Rfam's summary of the family: Transfer RNA (tRNA) molecules are approximately 80 nucleotides in length. Their secondary structure includes four short double-helical elements and three loops (D, anti-codon, and T loops). The record is from RNAcentral. Lineage: Bacteria; Candidatus Peregrinibacteriota.
AGGGCCAUAGUAUAAUGGUAGUACACGGGUCUCCAAAACCCUUGGUGUGGGUUCAAUUCCUACUGGCCCUGCCA